CUCCCCUGCUCCCUAUCACAGUCUCUCCCUUUCCUCCCCGUCGCGGCGACUCCUCUGCUCCCCACCACUGCCACCUGUGUUAUCCACGACCCUCCUCUCCCUCUACACCUUCUCCACUGAAUCAAUUGAUGCCACUAUAAUCUUUGUGCAGUAGAAACGGAUGGAUUCAUGUCAAGAACAGAAACGUCUGGCUUUACUACUACCUUCUCAUUUGCGGGUAAUUGACGCAGUUGAUCUCCGCUUAAAGCAGUGGACCGACUCUGUUCCUGUCAUCUCCUGCCCACGUCUCUGCUCCGAAGUUCGUCAGGUUACGCCCUCCGACAAUCAUCGCCAUUGAUGCGACGAAUUUGAGUUCUCGGAAUGUCAUCGCUGCAUCCCUAGCCAUCGUCUCCCUUCUCCCUACAGAUUCCCUUUUGUUUGGUAGAACCUGAAUUCACGAUUCUGGUAAGAAUUCUACACAAAGGAUCAAGAAACAUCGAUUCGUCAUUCAUUUGGGGAAAAUAGGAAUCAAGAAUAAAAUGUUGUUCUGCUAAGACGAUCCUUAGUGGCAGUUUGAGAAAGAGCCACACUUCUUGCUGACGUUUGUUUGCAUUUAAGAAAGGUGCUAGAUGUGCUUCAGGUUUUAGUGUGUGUGUUUCUAUAUCUAAGUGAUACCAGUGUUUUACUACUAACCAUGAUUUUAAGGCAUAUCAAUGUGCUUCAGGUUUUCCCCAAACAUAAGUUUCCUCAAAAAUGUUUUGUUAUUCGAACAAAUAUUUGAAGAAAUGUUCAGUUAUGCUAUUGCUACUUUU
This is a long non-coding RNA of Triticum dicoccoides, 791 nucleotides long. RefSeq lists it as uncharacterized. The record is from RefSeq and is a predicted model, not a curated record. The transcript is spliced from 3 exons. Lineage: Eukaryota; Viridiplantae; Streptophyta; Magnoliopsida; Poales; Poaceae.